RNAcentral lists this ribosomal RNA (356 nucleotides) under Escherichia coli. RNAcentral describes it as "partial 16S ribosomal RNA". It matches the Rfam family "Bacterial small subunit ribosomal RNA", at positions 1 to 350 of the family's 1533-position model. Lineage: Bacteria; Pseudomonadati; Pseudomonadota; Gammaproteobacteria; Enterobacterales; Enterobacteriaceae. The record is from RNAcentral.
UUAAAUUGAAGAGUUUGAUCAUGGCUCAGAUUGAACGCUGGCGGCAGGCCUAACACAUGCAAGUCGAACGGUAACAGGAAGCAGCUUGCUGCUUUGCUGACGAGUGGCGGACGGGUGAGUAAUGUCUGGGAAACUGCCCGAUGGAGGGGGAUAACUACUGGAAACGGUAGCUAAUACCGCAUAACGUCGCAAGACCAAAGAGGGGGACCUUAGGGCCUCUUGCCAUCGGAUGUGCCCAGAUGGGAUUAGCUAGUAGGUGGGGUAACGGCUCACCUAGGCGACGAUCCCUAGCUGGUCUGAGAGGAUGMCCMGCCMCACCCGGACCUGMGMYMACAUCCGAUCUCCUACCGGCGGCA